This 1215-nucleotide long non-coding RNA is filed under the name Calidris pugnax (ruff). RNAcentral describes it as "lncRNA (ENSCPUG00000012080.1)". Lineage: Eukaryota; Metazoa; Chordata; Aves; Charadriiformes; Scolopacidae. The record is from RNAcentral.
AUUUCUGGAAAAAAAUGUCUCAAAUGUGUCAAUUUUCCUAGUCUUAGAAGUAUGAUUCGUGAAAACUGAGUCUUCUUCCUUGUUUACAGAAUACAUGGCAACAAAUGUUUCCACGCCAGGAGGACUGCAGAGCAAGAAGUUGGACUACCCUUUCAUGUUUUGCUUAAACUUACUCACUUUGGGCUAAAGUGACUCUCCUGGAAUUUGAUGUCUUGUUGCUGAGCAGGGAUGAGGAGGAAGGGGACCAAGGGAGGCCAAAGGAAAGUUGACCACACAAAUGUAAUGUUGGAGGCAUUAGACUGCAUGGGGCUGUUCAGCCUCCACAAAGAACCAAACUUAUUCCCAUGGAAACCAAUGUUCGAAGAUGAAUAUGUAGCCUGGCUCUCAGCAGCUCCUUUUCCCUUUUCUCUUUUCUUCUCCCUUGGGAUGUUUUGUUGUUGUUUUUGGUAAAGAGAAAGAAAGAGGCUCUUCACCUCCAAGCAGCUUGAGAAAAGACUGGCAACAUUCAUUCCACUAAUAAGCUGGCAAUUAAUGCAAAGAGGAAUGUCCUGGAUUUCUCAAAGAGAAGUAUUUUUCAACAAGAGCUGGUCAAGAUGUUGACGAGAUUUUGCUUUUUUUUUCUCUUUCUUUUCUUUUUUUUUUUUUUUUUUUUUUCAAAUGGGACAUACACUUUCUGGAAAAGGGGGCUAAACUGGUGUUGUAAGUCUGCCCUCACGUGUCGGAUUUUAACUCUUCAGAAGAGAAAGUACAAGUGAGCUCAAUGGAAUCCACCAGACGUAUCGUGGCACCGCCCAGAUAAUGAUUUAUGGAUGUGCAGUGUGAGAAAUGUAUUUUCUACUGCAAUGGAUGGAAACCAGGGUCUCCGUUGCUACCCAGGGCCUGCAUUUCUAUCUGCACUGUGUCGUUCAUGUGUCCCUGGACCCCCAGUUCUGCUUGUGUGCCCGUGAAAAAUGGAAGUGAUUCCCCUGAUCUCAGCAGAUCACGCUGGGUUAAACCUCAUCCAUACAAAGCGUUCUGGUCUCCCUGUCACCUUGUUCAGAAAUGAGAUCCCUGCGUGUGAAUAACCCUUCAGCGUGUGCUUCAAAUCCAUCCCUUAUUUGAGAAAGCACUCAAAUACUUUCCUGAAUCAGGAAUAUAGAAAAUAUUCAUCUUUUUAACAGGACAACUUCAUGAUAAAAAAAAUCAGGUAUGUUAAAGGAAAAACGGAUCCUUACU